CGCCCUUGGCGGGCUGGCCUUUUCCCAUGCCAGUCGAACGGUAACAGGGUGCUUGCACCGCUGACGAGUGGCGAACGGGUGAGUAAUGCAUCGGAAUGUACCGUGUAGUGGGGGAUAGCUCGGCGAAAGCCGGAUUAAUACCGCAUACGCCCUGAGGGGGAAAGUGGGGGACCGUAAGGCCUCACGUUAUACGAGCAGCCGAUGUCUGAUUAGCUAGUUGGUGGGGUAAAGGCUCACCAAGGCGACGAUCAGUAGCGGGUCUGAGAGGAUGAUCCGCCACACUGGGACUGAGACACGGCCCAGACUCCUACGGGAGGCAGCAGUGGGGAAUUUUGGACAAUGGGCGCAAGCCUGAUCCAGCCAUGCCGCGUGUCUGAAGAAGGCCUUCGGGUUGUAAAGGACUUUUGUCCGGGAGCAAAUCCCAGUGGUUAAUACCUACUGGGGCUGAGAGUACCGGAAGAAUAAGCACCGGCUAACUACGUGCCAGCAGCCGCGGUAAUACGUAGGGUGCAAGCGUUAAUCGGAAUUACUGGGCGUAAAGCGUGCGCAGGCGGUUGUGCAAGUCUGAUGUGAAAGCCCCGGGCUUAACCUGGGAACGGCAUUGGAGACUGCACGACUAGAGUGCGUCAGAGGGGGGUAGAAUUCCGCGUGUAGCAGUGAAAUGCGUAGAGAUGCGGAGGAAUACCGAUGGCGAAGGCAGCCCCCUGGGAUGACACUGACGCUCAUGCACGAAAGCGUGGGGGAGCAAACAGGAUUAGAUACCCUGGUAGUCCACGCCCUAAACGAUGUCAACUAGCUGUUUGGGGGUUUUGAAUCCUUGGUAGCGAAACCUAACGCGAGA
Molecule: ribosomal RNA, 841 nt
Filed under: Chromobacterium haemolyticum
Lineage: Bacteria; Pseudomonadati; Pseudomonadota; Betaproteobacteria; Neisseriales; Chromobacteriaceae
Description: bacterial SSU rRNA
Rfam family: Bacterial small subunit ribosomal RNA
Source: RNAcentral